GUCCAGCUGACGAGUCCCAAAUACAAUGAAACGCGCGUCCCGGAU
Molecule: non-coding RNA, 45 nt
Organism: Schistosoma margrebowiei
Lineage: Eukaryota; Metazoa; Platyhelminthes; Trematoda; Strigeidida; Schistosomatidae
Source: Rfam